This 73-nucleotide transfer RNA is filed under the name bacterium. Its description in RNAcentral is "tRNA-Ala". It matches the Rfam family "tRNA". Rfam says of the family: Transfer RNA (tRNA) molecules are approximately 80 nucleotides in length. Their secondary structure includes four short double-helical elements and three loops (D, anti-codon, and T loops). The record is from RNAcentral. RNAcentral also lists the same sequence under 8 other names.
GGGGCCGUAGCUCAGUCGGGAGAGCGCUUGAAUGGCAUUCAAGAGGUCAGGGGUUCGAUUCCCCUCGGCUCCA